AAAUAAGAAACAAUUAUUGUUAUUAGUUUCGACCUAAUCCUUUGAUGAAAUAACUCAUCCUUAUUUU
Molecule: transfer RNA, 67 nt
Filed under: Limonius californicus
Lineage: Eukaryota; Metazoa; Arthropoda; Insecta; Coleoptera; Elateridae
Description: tRNA-Arg
Source: RNAcentral